GCUUUGGUAGCUCAGCUGGGAGAGCGUCAGACUGAAGAUCUGAAGGUCAUGGGUUCAAGCCCCAUUCGAAGCA
RNAcentral lists this transfer RNA (73 nucleotides) under Hesseltinella vesiculosa. It matches the Rfam family "tRNA". Rfam says of the family: Transfer RNA (tRNA) molecules are approximately 80 nucleotides in length. Their secondary structure includes four short double-helical elements and three loops (D, anti-codon, and T loops). The record is from Rfam by way of RNAcentral. Lineage: Eukaryota; Fungi; Mucoromycota; Mucoromycetes; Mucorales; Cunninghamellaceae.